RNAcentral lists this ribosomal RNA (227 nucleotides) under uncultured bacterium. RNAcentral's name for it is "partial 16S ribosomal RNA". It matches the Rfam family "Bacterial small subunit ribosomal RNA", at positions 109 to 334 of the family's 1533-position model. The record is from RNAcentral.
AGUAAUGUAUCGCUAAUGUACCCUCGGGCCCGGGAUAGCCAGCCGAAAGGCUGGGUAAUACCGGAUGUUAUAACCGGCAGGCAUCCGCUGGUUCUCAAAGCCGCAAGGCACCCUUGGAGCAGGCGAUAUCGUAUCAGGUAGUUGGUGGGGUAACGGCCCACCAAGCCGACGACGCGUAGCCGGACUGAGAGGUUGGCCGGCCACAUUGGGACUGAGACACUGCCCAG